CACCUGUGGGCAUAAGAAUUUCAGUUUUAAACUAAUUUUCAGAAAGUUAUAAGCACUUUUUUUAAAGUGUUGGCAUAAAAGUGCCUGCAGCUAUGGCAUCUCAAAGUGGUCCGUCUCCAGUGGUCUCAAUGGAGUGCCUAAGCAUUUUCAUUCCAUAUGUCAUUAUUUGUUUUGAUAAUUAUUUCAAAGUUUAUUUUAAACACGGAAAACAUCAAGAAGAGAGAGCUGUGUUUCCAGGAUGUUUCUGGCAGAGUGACAACAUGCUUUCAUAUACUGCAAAACACUCAUGUAGCGAGACAAUCCACAACUACUAAAUAUAGCUAUUUAAACUAUAAAAGAAAAAUAACUCCUAUACAAAUAUAUCCUGUAACCUCAGAGGAAUAGGAUUUAUCCCAAACAGUUCUAGUCUAGACAAAGUGAAACUGAUUGAUUCUAUCCUUGAAGAAUUGUCAAUGACCUAGCUGAGCUAUUCUCUAGUAAAAAUAAGUAGCCUUAGGGCAACAUAAAUGUGUCAUACAUCAUGGAAAGAUGAAGUCUUUAUUUUGUUUGUAUCAUUUAAGCUUUAUUUUAUGAACAAAGACAAGAUAAUUGUAUGUAGCUGUUAAAAAGUUUAUAAUUCUAACUAGUUAAUAAAACUAACUCUUCUCUCAUGCAGUAUUAAAAUAAUAUGUAGCCACCAAAUAUUUUGACAUGAGGACCUGUCACUGACAUCUCCACCAGAUGCUGUUAUCCAUUCAUCACUACUCACCCAUAAUUAUGCCACAAUGCUUCAAUAAUAUCCAGGCUUGUGUUGAACUUGAAACAAGGGGACCCUGUAGGGGCUGGAGGCCUCUGGGAAAUCAGCUUGGAGAACAACCAUCUUAAAGUGCAGGUGCUUUCUGAAAAGUGACUGUAAAAUGAUAUCAUGGGCAUCUGUCUUUGUCUCUUGGUUUCUAGAAUAAAUAUGUUCAGUUUACAAGUAAAAAAAAAAAAUUACUCCCAACUGCCUGCUCUGCAGAGGCAAUCUGGGUUCUUUCCUUCUCAUGCAUUAUCGCUAGUUUAAUUUAAAAAAAAAAAAGAAAGUUCUGGGAGCCAAAUUAGUCUCUCAGUCAUAACUUUUGAAUUCAGAAAUGUCAGUGACAAAUCUGCAAUCCAUUUGCUUUCAAUGACUUUGCACAGAGGCUAGUGAUUAGAAGUUAGUACUCAGCACUUGAUAAUGCAUGAUGCUCUUUUUUUUAGCUGUGUUGACUCUGCAGAGCUAGAGGAGGAAAAAAAAAAGCAGGAAAAUCAUAGAUAAUUAGGGUUGGAAGGGACCUCAAGAGAUCAUCUAAAUCCAACCUCCUGCUCAAAGCAGGAGCAAUCUCCAAAAGGCCCCCUCAAGGAUUGAACUCACAACCCUGGGUUUAAGCAGGCCAAUGCUCAAACCACUGAGCUAUCCUUCCCCCCUCUUUAUUUACCCAAUGAUACCUGCUGAUUUUAGUAAUUAAAUAACUUUUCAGAGUAGAACAUCACCUUAAUAAACACUGGAAAAAAAUAUCAUUAACUGUCUUUUCUAUAGAAAAGACCAUAUUGAUUAGCAUUUAUAUUUAAGACAGAGGACUCCACCCAUAAAGUAAUUUACAUACUACUUUUACUGCCCACAUGAUAUGAAGAAGUCAAAAGGGUAGGUUCACUUUACAAUACAAUUGCCAAAUCAUUUAGAAUGCAUCACUGUUUUGCGUCACAUUUGCUAUUUACAUAAAAGCAUUACCAAACCAGUCAUAUGGUAUGGGCUAAUUUUUAAAGUCAGUUAUUUCCGCACGCUCCUCUUUUCAGUAUAAGGGUCAAUUUGUAUUUCAUCUCUUUCCUCUCCUGUAAUCUUCAGGAGUUCAAAUUACAUCUUUAAAUUAUCUCUGUUUUGACCAAAGUUACUUCCAUUUCAGCUGGCUGUAUCUCAGAUAGACAGGUGGGCUGAAAUAUGUGACUACUGUAAAUAUAUGUGUUGGCAAUAAUUACCUGCUUCAGAUAAGCUUGCUACAGUUGGUGAUUGUUGGCACAAGACAUACUGGCUGACAGAUAUUUUGAAAUAAAUGACAAAAAAAUAUAUACCUGCCCCUGGAAAUUUCCACUACAUGCAUCCGACAAAGUGAGUAUUCACCCACGAAAGCUCAUGCUCCAAUACGUCUGUUAGUCUAUAAGGUGCCACAGGACUCUUUGUUGCUUUGACAAAAUAAUUGAAACUGAUGUGAUUAUAUUGUGUUAUUUUGGCAAAUAAAAUUUGCAGAAUUUGAAAA
This is a long non-coding RNA of Gopherus flavomarginatus (Mexican gopher tortoise), 2252 nucleotides long. RefSeq lists it as uncharacterized. The record is from RefSeq and is a predicted model, not a curated record. Lineage: Eukaryota; Metazoa; Chordata; Testudines; Testudinidae. The transcript has 2 exons.